GAUGAAGAACGUAGCGAAAUGCGAUAAGUAAUGCGAAUUGCAGAAUCCGUGAGUCAUCGAAUCUUUGAACGCAUAUUGCGCCCUUUGGCAUUCCGAAGGGCAUGCCUGUUCGAGCGUCAUUAUCACCCCUCAAGCCCCGGCUUGGUGUUGGGCCCCCGGUGGUCGUACCCGACCACCCGCCUCAAAGAUAGUGACGGCGUCCCAGAGGGAACCGGUACGAGGAGCUUUCACGAGCAUGUACGCGGGACGACUCUGUGGGCGACGGUCUUUUUUAACCUUAAUAUAUCAAGUGUUGACCUCGGAUCAGGUAGGAAUACCCGCUGAACUUAAGCAUAUCAAUAAGCGGAAGA
This 350-nucleotide unclassified non-coding RNA is filed under the name soil metagenome. RNAcentral's name for it is "partial contains 5.8S ribosomal RNA, internal transcribed spacer 2, and large subunit ribosomal RNA". The stretch from base 1 to 119 matches the Rfam family "5.8S ribosomal RNA", at positions 35 to 154 of the family's 154-position model. The record is from RNAcentral.